Molecule: ribosomal RNA, 219 nt
Filed under: Klebsiella pneumoniae
Lineage: Bacteria; Pseudomonadati; Pseudomonadota; Gammaproteobacteria; Enterobacterales; Enterobacteriaceae
Also listed under: 1 other name
Description: partial 23S ribosomal RNA
Rfam family: Bacterial large subunit ribosomal RNA
Source: RNAcentral
UCAUGCCAAUGGCACUGCCCGGUAGCUAAAUGCGGAAGAGAUAAGUGCUGAAAGCAUCUAAGCACGAAACUUGCCCCGAGAUGAGUUCUCCCUGAGACUUUAAGUCUCCUGAAGGAACGUUAAAGACGAUGACGUUGAUAGGCCGGGUGUGUAAGCGCAGCGAUGCGUUGAGCUAACCGGUACUAAUGAACCGUGAGGCUUAACCUUACAACGCCGAAG